AGCUUCAUAAAGUGGCUUAGUGGUUAGCACGUCCGCCUCAAACCUCCAGGGUCGGGGGUUCGAUUCCCGCCGGGGCCG
Molecule: non-coding RNA, 78 nt
Organism: Ameiurus melas (black bullhead)
Lineage: Eukaryota; Metazoa; Chordata; Actinopteri; Siluriformes; Ictaluridae
Source: the annotation of a GenBank genome assembly